UAUAGCAUGUCAACAGAAGUCAGAGGACAGCUUUCUCAACUCUGGCCAGGUUGAGGCAGGGUCUUGCUUGGUUUUUGCUGCUGCAUUGGGUACUCCAUGCUAGUUGGCUCACAAGUUCUGGAAGGUUUCCUGUCUGUGUCUCCCAGUUCACCCAGGAGUGCUUGGAUGACAGACGUGUACAGUUGGAUAUGGUUCUUUGUGUGGAUUCCAAGGAUUGAAUUUGGGUCACCAGAUGCACUUGCUGUCAGGGAAAAUGCCAAGUUGCUAUCUGGUGGUGAAUUAAACAGAUACACAUGCAUCCAUCAAAUACUUGAGUGCCCACUGCAUGCCAGCCCCUGCAGGAGGAGGGAAGAGGAAAGAAACAAGGCAGAGAAUGCACUCUAACUCCCAGGAGUCUGCACACUGGUCCAAGAUUCAGGUAUGUGUAGUCAGUCAUACCACGUGUGUCAGCACAUUCACAAAAGCCACGGGAAUGUGACUAAUCACUGCAAAGGCAGGAAGAGUCACUUGCCAAAGGCAAGCUGUGAAUUGAAUCUUAAAUCAAGAAUACAGAUCUACCUGGCAGAGACAAGGGGAGGAAAGAUGUCUUAGGCAAUGGGAACAGAAAGCAGGCUUGAAACAGCAUGGGAAACAAGGCUUAAGCAGGACUCAGCUAUAUGAGUAUGCCAGGAGAACGGCUGAGAGGUAGUUGGGAUAAAGAAUAUGGAGGAGCUUUCCUGCAUGUCAUCCUGUAACUAGUUGCCACAGUCUGCACUCAUUCCCCAAAGUUUGUGUAUUGAAAACUUAGUCCCCAAUGCCAGGUGGUACCAUUAGGAGAUAAAGAAGUCAUGAGGGCUCCAUCAUGAAAGGACUGAUGUCAUGUUCAUAAUAGUGGGUUUGUUUGACACUCACUUGCUCUCUCCUGGCCUCUCUUAUCCCCCCUUCUUACUUUUGUUAAGAUGAUGUAGCAUAAAGGACCUCUCCAGAUGUUAGCAUCACAAGUGCAGUGUGAUAAGGUCAACCAGUCAACCAGGCACAGUUUUAAAACAAGUUAUUUAUAGCAAUUUACCCUAUAGUUGAAUGUUCCAUUCUGGAAAGACGCUUAAGACUCUGGAAAUUUUAAAGGAAUCUCAUUGAGAUUCAGAGGUAAACAACUCAGGAGUCUCAGGAAGUCCCUGAAAUUUACCAGAUUUACAAAGCCUAUCCUUCUCUAGCAGUAAAGACUGCUGAAGAGAGGAAGCACUCUAACUUGAGAUACCUGCCAAUCAUGCAGAGAGUUUCAGGGUUCAGCUUUGUGAAUCAUCACGUGUGCUGGGGUAAGCCUUUGAAUUCUUCAUGUUCCUGUAAGUAACUCUUUACCCAUACUCCAGUAAGUAGUUCCAAUAAACCAAUUGGUUCACCACGUUGGGCUUUAGUAGAUCGUUACUUUGGUCUGUUGUUGGUUCUUAACUGGGUAAGUAGAUGUUUGUUCUUGUCUCCCCAGGAACAGCAUUGCAUAUCACAAAGGAAUCUGAGCCACUACACACCACCACCCUCCUUCCAUCAUAGUUUCAUUCAAUAUAUUCACUGAACACUCUUGCCAUCAUUCACUCUCCUUAGAGUAUGCAAAAGGAUCCUUGUGAACUUGGAAUCUGUAUGAUGCCAAACCUGUAUGAUAUUGGAUUUCCUGGCCUCUGAGACUAUGAGAAAUGGAUUUCUUUUCUUAACUCUCCAGUCUACGAUGUUCUGCAAAAGCAACAUAAAACAAACUAAGACAAGUCCUUCCCAAACUGUUUCUCAGUCUAAGACCUCCUUGGUGAAAUUGGAAUCUUUCUUGGAAGUCCAGCUUGAGAACACAGGAAAGGAGAACUGAUUGGAUGGAGGGAGUCUGCCCCAGAGCUGCACACCCUCUUCACCACUGGUCCCUGUGGAAGCUUUAGCUGGAGCUUCAUGGAGCAACGGACAUACAUGGCUCUAGGAAGAGCAGCCACACAAGGAUUUUAGACUGGAAAUAACUCAAUCAGACAGGCAGGAGUUAAACUCGGUGGGAAUUUAGAAGACUGAUAUUAUCCAAAUAUAGACUUGUCUGUAGUAGUGAAACACCCUGGAUUUUUGAUAUCAUUGUCUUUGUACCCAAGCUGCUAAACAUUAUGGAUUUUGUACUUUCCUGCUCCCACUGCUGGAAUGAUUGUUCCAAUUUUUGAAAAGUAGAGAGGAAAAGUUCCCUACGUUAAUGUCUCCCCUGAUGCCAGGGAACCAAUAUUAAUGUGUCAAGCAA
Long non-coding RNA from Peromyscus californicus insignis, 2236 nucleotides. RefSeq lists it as uncharacterized. Lineage: Eukaryota; Metazoa; Chordata; Mammalia; Rodentia; Cricetidae. The transcript has 2 exons. The record is from RefSeq and is a predicted model, not a curated record.